Molecule: ribosomal RNA, 494 nt
Filed under: uncultured bacterium
Lineage: Bacteria
Description: partial 16S ribosomal RNA
Rfam family: Bacterial small subunit ribosomal RNA
Source: RNAcentral
GAACGCUGGCGGCGUGCCUAAUACCUGCAAGUCGAGCGAACGGACGAGAAGCUUGCUUCUCUGAUGUUAGCGGCGGACGGGUGAGUAACACGUGGAUAACCUACCUAUAAGACUGGGAUAACUUCGUGAAACCGGAGCUAAUACCGGAUAAUAUUUUGAACCGCAUGGUUCAAAAGUGAAAGAAGGUCUUGCUGUCACUUAUAGAUGGAUCCGCGCUGCAUUAGCUAGUUGGUAAGGUAACGGCUUACCAAGGCAACGAUGCAUAGCCGACCUGAGAGGGUGAUCGGCCACACUGGAACUGAGACACGGUCCAGACUCCUACGGGAGGCAGCAGUAGGGAAUCUUCCGCAAUGGGCGAAAGCCUGACGGAGCAACGCCGCGUGAGUGAUGAAGGUCUUCGGAUCGUAAAACUCUGUUAUUAGGGAAGAACAUAUGUGUAAGUAACUGUGCACAUCUUGACGGUACCUAAUCAGAAAGCCACGGCUAACUACGUG